GUUAAUAAAAUAUAUAAUAAUAAAUAAAUAUGAAAAUUUAAUGAGAAGGAUUGAGAAAGUAUGGGUGGAAAGAGAAUGCCGGAUAAAUAAAUGAUCACGAUGAAAAGAACAAUACGAAGUGAAAUAAUAAUAAUAAUAAUAAUGAUGAUGAUGUUUAUUUUAUAUGUAUUUUUAUUAAAUUGUAACAUUAUAAAAAUUUAUCUUUAUAUUUUUUUAUUAUUAAAUAUAAAUUUGAAGUUUAAAAUAU
Molecule: long non-coding RNA, 247 nt
Filed under: Ananas comosus (pineapple)
Lineage: Eukaryota; Viridiplantae; Streptophyta; Magnoliopsida; Poales; Bromeliaceae
Description: long non-coding RNA (ACOM_LNC004853)
Source: RNAcentral